Brachypodium distachyon (stiff brome) is the source of this 125-nucleotide non-coding RNA. NCBI's taxonomy places the organism in Eukaryota, Viridiplantae, Streptophyta, Magnoliopsida, Poales, Poaceae. The record is from Rfam.
UUUGUACUCCCUCCGACCGAUAUUACUUGUCUCAAAUUUGCCCAAAUAUGGAUGUAUCUAUGUUUUAAAAGCGUCUAGAUACAUGUAAUAUUUCGACAAGUAAUUCCGGCCGGAGGGAGUAAUUG